AGCUCCAAUAGCGUAUAUUAAAGUUGUUGCAGUUAAAAAGCUCGUAGUCUAAGUUUGGAGAGGUUCAGGCCCGGUCUGCCGGGAUGGUGUGUACUGGCUUGACCUCUCUUCUAUCCAGCUUUGCUUCUCUUUGCUCUUAACUGAGUGGGGGGAAAGCUCUGGAUCGUUUACUUUGAAAAAAUUAGAGUGUUUAAAGCAGGCCUAUUUUGUGCCUUGAAUAUUGCAGCAUGGAAUAAUGGAAUAGGAUCUCACAUCCUUUUUCGUUGGUUUUUGCGUGUGAGAUAAUGGUUAAUAGAAUCAGUUGGGGAUAUUCAUAUUUAAUUGCUAGAGGUGAAAUUCUUGGAUUUAUGAAAGAUGAACUUCUGCGAAAGCAUUUAUCAAGGAUGUUUUCA
RNAcentral lists this ribosomal RNA (392 nucleotides) under uncultured eukaryote. RNAcentral describes it as "SSU rRNA". It matches the Rfam family "Eukaryotic small subunit ribosomal RNA", at positions 587 to 972 of the family's 1831-position model. The record is from RNAcentral.